AUUGAACGCUGGCGGCAUGCCUUACACAUGCAAGUCGAACGGCAGCACGGGAGCAAUCCUGGUGGCGAGUGGCGAACGGGUGAGUAAUAUAUCGGAACGUGCCCAGUCGUGGGGGAUAACGUAGCGAAAGCUACGCUAAUACCGCAUACGAGCUAUGGAUGAAAGCGGGGGAUCGCAAGACCUCGCGCGAUUGGAGCGGCCGAAAUCAGAUUAGGUAGUUGGUGAGGUAAAGGCGCACCAAGCCGACGAUCUGUAGGUGGUCUGAGAGGAGGACCGAACACACUGGGACGGAGACACGGCCCAGACCCCUACGGGAGGCAGCAGUGGGGAAUUUUGGACAAUGGGCGCAAUCCUGAUCCAGCAAUGCCGCGUGCAGGAUGAAGGCCUUCGGGUUGUAAACUGCUUUUGUACGGAACGAAACGGCGAGCUCUAAUACAGUUUGCUAAUGACGGUACCGUAAGAAUAAGCACCGGCUAACUACGUGCCAGCCGCCGCCGUAA
This 500-nucleotide ribosomal RNA is filed under the name uncultured bacterium. RNAcentral's name for it is "partial 16S ribosomal RNA". It matches the Rfam family "Bacterial small subunit ribosomal RNA", at positions 29 to 523 of the family's 1533-position model. The record is from RNAcentral.